Vicugna pacos (alpaca) is the source of this 658-nucleotide non-coding RNA. NCBI's taxonomy places the organism in Eukaryota, Metazoa, Chordata, Mammalia, Artiodactyla, Camelidae. The record is from RefSeq and is a predicted model, not a curated record.
CCCCGCCCCCGCUCCUUUUCUUUUUGUGCAACGAAAAGAGGACGGCAAAUAGGGAGAGUUACAGCCACCUCUGAAACGAAUAGGUGCUGAGGAUAAUUCAAAGAUGAAGAAGAGGACUUAUUUCCUGCCUUUCAGGAGCUCACAAUCUAGCAGUGGAGAAAAAUACGGAGUCCUAAUUUGGUGCUUUUUUUCACUAUACCAUACCACCUCUCUUGGACCUUUUAAGGACUGGGUCAGCUGAUUCCUUGCCACACGCCAUGUGGGGAGAGACUACUGUGAUCAUCUUCCUCACUAGGACCACAUGGAGUAUGCGAUGGAAAUUUUUUCUAAGAAUGGGUUUCUAGCAGACAGGAACAAUGGGCUAACCACAACAAGUUGUUAAAGGGUAAGUCAUUCAUUGACAUGACAGGAACUCAUGAUGCAUUAAAUGAAAACAUGUUAUGAAAUAACUACAUGAAAAAUAAUCCCAGUUAUAUAAAGUUAUUUAUCUAUGUAUCUAUAUGUAUAUUAAGCAUAGAGAAUUCUGGAAGAAUGCUCACAAAUAAUUGAUGGUGUUUGUCUUUUACAGACUUCCCCAAUAAGUGGUCGCUCAGGAACAUGGAACUUACUAUUUACCCAAUCCAUUUUUUGAUGAAUGUUAACAAAUGUCUUCACUAUA